GUGUGUGUGUGUAUAUAUAUAUAUAUUCACUGCCGCCCGUAAGGCACUCCAUAUCACUUCGCUGAACCAUCAAAAUGGGGAGUCACAAGCAAUUGGUGUUGGUGAUGCUGGUCGUCUUCAUAAUGGCCUUUGCUACCCAAACUUUAGCUGUGCCCUAUACGCCUUAUCCAGUGCCCUGCCUCGGUGGCACCUGCGGAUCCAAGUCCUCAAACGUAAAUGCAAACAAGGCCUCCGUUAACCCCAUCAUAUCGGUUGGCAAGGGUUGAGAGAAAUUUCGACUUAAUUGGAUGAUCACAGGAAUUCUUGCAUCGUUGUAUUGGUUUUAAUAAAGAAAAUGAUUGAUUUGA
Molecule: long non-coding RNA, 347 nt
Filed under: Penaeus japonicus
Lineage: Eukaryota; Metazoa; Arthropoda; Malacostraca; Decapoda; Penaeidae
Description: uncharacterized LOC122263219
Source: RNAcentral